CCGGAUUUAUUGGGUUUAAAGGGUCCGCAGGCGGAAUAUUAAGUCAGUGGUGAAAGCCUACAGCUCAACUGUAGAACUGCCAUUGAAACUGUUAUUCUUGAGUAUGGAUGAAGUGGGCGGAAUAUGUCAUGUAGCGGUGAAAUGCAUAGAUAUGACAUGGAACACCAAUUGCGAAGGCAGCUCACUAAACCAUUACUGACGCUCAUGGACGAAAGCGUGGGGAGCGAACAGGAUUAGAUACCCUGGUAGUCCACGCCGUAAACGAUGAUCACUAGAUGUUG
This 281-nucleotide ribosomal RNA is filed under the name uncultured Flavobacteriia bacterium. Its description in RNAcentral is "partial 16S ribosomal RNA". It matches the Rfam family "Bacterial small subunit ribosomal RNA", at positions 545 to 825 of the family's 1533-position model. The record is from RNAcentral. Lineage: Bacteria; Pseudomonadati; Bacteroidota; Flavobacteriia.